AUCAACUUUCGAUGGUAGGAUAGAGGCCUACCAUGGUGGUAACGGGUAACGGGGUGUUAGGGCACGACACCGGAGAGGGAGCCUGAGAAACGGCUACCACAUCCAAGGAUGGCAGCAGGCGCGCAAAUUACCCAAUCCCGACACGGGGAGGUAGUGACAAUAAAUAACAAUACGGGGUUCUUUCGGAUUUCGUAAUUGGAAUGAGUACAAUUUAAAUCUCUUAACGAGGAACAAUUGGAGGGCAAGUCUGGUGCCAGCAGCCGCGGUAAUUCCAGCUCCAAUAGCGUAUAUUAAAGUUGUUGCAGUUAAAAAGCUCGUAGUUGAAUUUCGGGGUCAGUAGAUUGGUCAUGCCUCCGGUAUGCACUGGUCUUACUGGCUCCUCCUUCCUGAUGAACCGUAAUGCCAUUAAUUUGGUGUUGCGGGGAGACUGGACUGUUACUUUGAAAAAAUUAGAGUGUUUAAAGCAGGCUAACGCUUGAAUACAUUAGCAUGGAAUAAUGAAAUAGGACGUUCGAUCUUAUUUUGUUGGUUUCUAAGAUUGACGUAAUGAUUAAUAGGGAUAGUUGGGGGCAUUAGUAUUCAAUUGUCAGAGGUGAAGUUCUUGGAUUUAUUGAAGACUAACUACUGCGAAAGCAUUUGCCAAGGAUGUUUUCAUUAAUCAAGAACGAAAGUUAGGGGAUCGAAGACGAUCAGAUACCGUCGUAGUCUUAACCAUAAACUAUGCCGACUAGGGAUCGGAUGAUGUUAAUUUUUUAAUGACUCAUUCGGCGCCUUACGGGAAACCAAAGUGUUUGGGUUC
This 799-nucleotide ribosomal RNA is filed under the name uncultured Glomeromycotina. Its description in RNAcentral is "SSU rRNA". It matches the Rfam family "Eukaryotic small subunit ribosomal RNA", at positions 314 to 1114 of the family's 1831-position model. Lineage: Eukaryota; Fungi; Glomeromycota. The record is from RNAcentral.